GCAAGUCGAGGGGCAGCAUGAUCUUCGGAUCGAUGGCGACCGGCGCACGGGUGCGUAACGCGUAUGCAACCUACCCAUAACAGGGGGAUAGCCCGAAGAAAUUCGGAUUAACACCGCAUAGUACUGAAUUAUCGCAUGGUAAUUUAGUUAAAUAUUUAUAGGUUAUGGAUGGGCAUGCGUAAGAUUAGAUUGUUGGUGAGGUAACGGCUCACCAAGUCUACGAUCUUUAGGGGUUCUGAGAGGAUUAUC
This 249-nucleotide ribosomal RNA is filed under the name uncultured bacterium. Its description in RNAcentral is "partial 16S ribosomal RNA". It matches the Rfam family "Bacterial small subunit ribosomal RNA", at positions 57 to 305 of the family's 1533-position model. The record is from RNAcentral.